Molecule: long non-coding RNA, 972 nt
Organism: Tribolium castaneum (red flour beetle)
Lineage: Eukaryota; Metazoa; Arthropoda; Insecta; Coleoptera; Tenebrionidae
Exons: 4
Source: RefSeq, a predicted model, not a curated record
GUUUGUCCCGAAUUUUUAAACCUAUUUAGUUACAUGGCCAUAAAAAUUUGCAAAUUUACUCGAAAAAAUAUGCAAAUUAGCUUAAUAUGGCCAAGAGAAUUUGAAGAAAUUAAUCCUGGAAAAUGGUACUACAUAAGAAUCGUAAUUUUCUUGAUAACUUAUGGUGUUUUUCCUUUUUGCACGUUUUUGCACGCAGUUGUAGUAAUACACAACAAUUUAAAUAUUCGUAUUAGUGAGGACAUUGGAGCAGUAGUUUCAAAUAUUGGUAUUUCUUACAUGGCAAUAAUUUACGUGCAACAGCAAAAUCAAAUAGCACAUCUCUUGAAAGAGUUGUCAGAUUUUAAAGAUUUUGGGAAACCUCCAUUUUUUGAGGAAGAAAAUAAGAGAUUAAAUUUUUGGUCAAUUUGCACAUUUAUUUAUCCAACUUGUGGUGCUUCUUUAUAUAAUUUAUCAAAAAUUUUGGAAAAAUCAAAAUGUAACGAAAUUAACGAAGAAAAUGGGUUACCAGCAACUUGUGGAUUUAUUUUUCCAAUUUGGGUUCCGUUUAACAUUAACUAUUUUCCGCUUUUUCACAUUAUGUUAAUCAGCACUUGGUUUUGCACCACUAUGUUCGUAAGACUACAUUUAUCAAUAUCCUACAAUGCGUUUGAAAUCGCACAUCAUAUUAUUUUGAGGAUAAAGCAUUUAAAUGGGAUGAUAAUCACAUGUUUUGAUUGCCAAGAUUACAAAAUCAGUCGGCAAAAAUUUACGACGUGUAAUCUGUACUACAAACAAAUAUUAGAUUUGUCAAAUCGACUAAAUCAAAGUUUCUCAAGCAUUAUGUUUGUUCAUUUCACUAUGACCUCAGCUGUUUGCGGGUGUUUGGAGAAACAAUUUGUUGAUGGUGAAUAUGUAGGUGGUUUUAUUCACUUAGUUGGAUGGAUUAUAUCAUUAUUUAUCGCUUCAGUUGGAGGACAAGAUCUUGUUAAUGCU